GUGAUUGGACAUACGGGUACGGGGAUUAGGGUUCGAUUCCGGAGAGGGAGCCUGAGAAACGGCUACCACAUCCAAGGAAGGCAGCAGGCGCGCAAAUUACCCAAUCCCGAUACGGGGAGGUAGUGACAAUAAAUAACAAUACAGGGCUCUUACGGGUCUUGUAAUUGGAAUGAGUACAAUUUAAAUCCCUUAACGAGGAACAAUUGGAGGGCAAGUCUGGUGCCAGCAGCCGCGGUAAUUCCAGCUCCAAUAGCGUAUAUUAAAGUUGUUGCAGUUAAAAAGCUCGUAGUUGAAUUUCGGGGUUCUACCGUUGGUCGGGCAAUAGUCUGUACUGGCGUGUAGAAUUUCUACCUUCUGGGGAACCAUCAUGUUAUUUAUUUAGCGUGGUGGGAAACCAGGACCUUUACCUUGAAAAAAUUAGAGUGUUCAAAGCAGGCUUACGUCUGAAUACAUUAGCAUGGAAUAAUAAAAUAGGACGGUGGUCCUGUUUUGUUGGUUUCUGAAUCACCGUAAUGAUUAAUAGGGAUAGUUGGGGGCAUUAGUAUUCAAUUGUCAGAGGUGAAAUUCUUGGAUUUAUUGAAGACUAACUUCUGCGAAAGCAUUUGCCAAGGAUGUUUUCAUUAAUCAAGAACGAAAGUUAGGGGAUCGAAGACGAUCAGAUACCGUCGUAGUCUUAACCAUAAACUAUGCCGACUAGGGAUCGGACGAUGUUAAUUUUUCUUGACUCGUUCGGCGCCUUACGGGAAACCAAAGUUUUUUGGGUUCA
Molecule: ribosomal RNA, 766 nt
Filed under: Gigaspora margarita
Lineage: Eukaryota; Fungi; Glomeromycota; Glomeromycetes; Diversisporales; Gigasporaceae
Description: SSU rRNA
Rfam family: Eukaryotic small subunit ribosomal RNA
Source: RNAcentral